CCGUCUCUGUGGCAAAAGAGUGGGAAGAGCUUUGAGUAGAGGUGACAGACCUACCGAACCUAGUUAUAGCUGGUUGCCUGGGAAUUGGAUAGAAGUUCAGCCUUGCGGCUUCUCCAUUCACCUCCGUUUCAACUUCCUCCGGAUAAUCCGAGAAACUGCGAGAGUUAGUCAAAGGGGGUACAGCCCCUUUGAACCAAGACACAACUUUUCCAGGAGGGUAAAGAUCAUAAUAAUCAAGGAACAAUGUUCUGGUGGGCCUAAAAGCAGCCAUCCCCGCAGAAAGCGUUAAAGCUCGGACAUACCUUACCUCCCUAUAUACUGAUAACCAAAUCUUAACCCCCUAACCCUACCAGGCCGCCCCAUGCAGACAUGGGCGUGACUAUGCUAAUAUGAGUAACAAGAGAGUACCUACCCCCUCUCUCCUUGCACACGUGUAAAUCGGAACGGACCUACCACCGAAUCUUAACGGCCCCAAACAAAGAGGGCACUGAAAAAUGACCCAAGCAAACCAGAAAACCAUCCAGCUUAUUACCGUUAACCCCACACUGGUGUGCCCCUAAGGAAAGACUAAAAGAAAGAGAAGGAACUCGGCAAACACAUGAAGCCUCGCCUGUUUACCAAAAACAUCGCCUCUUGCAAAACCAAAGAAUAAGAGGUCCCGCCUGCCCAGUGACAAUCUAGUUCAACGGCCGCGGUAUUUUGACCGUGCAAAGGUAGCGUAAUCACUUGUCUUUUAAAUGAAGACCUGUAUGAAUGGCAUAACGAGGGCUUAGCU
Molecule: ribosomal RNA, 775 nt
Filed under: Xiphias gladius (swordfish)
Lineage: Eukaryota; Metazoa; Chordata; Actinopteri; Istiophoriformes; Xiphiidae
Description: partial 16S ribosomal RNA
Rfam family: Bacterial large subunit ribosomal RNA
Source: RNAcentral